This 497-nucleotide ribosomal RNA is filed under the name uncultured bacterium. Its description in RNAcentral is "partial 16S ribosomal RNA". It matches the Rfam family "Bacterial small subunit ribosomal RNA", at positions 28 to 507 of the family's 1533-position model. The record is from RNAcentral.
GAUGAACGCUGGCGGAGGGAUGAAUACAUGCAAGUCGUGCGAACGGACGAGAAGCUUGCUUCUCUGAUGUUAGCGGCGGACGGGUGAGUAACACGUGGAUAACCUACCUAUAAGACUGGGAUAACUUCGGUAAACCGGUGCUAAUACCGGAUGAUAUUUUGAACCUCAUGGUUCAAAAGUGAAAGACGGUCUUGCUGUCACUUAUAGAUGGAUCCGCGCUGCAUUAGCUAGUUGGUAAGGUAACGGCUUACCAAGGCAACGAUGCAUAGCCGACCUGAGAGGGUGAUCGGCCACACUGGAACUGAGACACGGUCCAGACUCCUACGGGAGGAAGCAGUAGGGAAUCUUCCGCAAUGGGCGAAAGCAUGACGGAGCAACGCCGAGUGAGUGAUGAAGGUCUUCGGAUCGUAAAACUCUGUUAUUAGGGAAGAACAUAUGUGUAAGUAACUGUGCACAUCUUGACGGUGCCUAAUCAGAAAGCCACGGCUAACUACGUG